AUGGACGCAAGUCUGAUGGAGCAACGCCGCGUGAGUGAAGAAGGGUUUCGGCUCGUAAAGCUCUGUUGGUAGUGAAGAAAGAUAGAGGUAGUAACUGGCCUUUAUUUGACGGUAAUUACUUAGAAAGUCACGGCUAACUACGUGCCAGCAGCCGCGGUAAUACGUAGGUGGCAAGCGUUGUCCGGAUUUAUUGGGCGUAAAGCGAGUGCAGGCGGUUCAAUAAGUCUGAUGUGAAAGCCUUCGGCUCAACCGGAGAAUUGCAUCAGAAACUGUUGAACUUGAGUGCAGAAGAGGAGAGUGGAACUCCAUGUGUAGCGGUGGAAUGCGUAGAUAUAUGGAAGAACACCGGUGGCGAAGGCGGCUCUCUGGUCUGCAACUGACGCUGAGGCUCGAAAGCAUGGGUAGCGAACAGGAUUAGAUACCCUGGUAGUCCAUGCCGUAAACGAUGAGUGCUAAGUGUUGGGAGGUUUCCGCCUCUCAGUGCUGCAGCUAACGCAUUAAGCACUCCGCCUGGGGAGUACGACCGCAAGGUUGAAACUCAAAGGAAUUGACGGGGGCCCGCACAAGCGGUGGAGCAUGUGGUUUAAUUCGAAGCAACGCGAAGA
RNAcentral lists this ribosomal RNA (605 nucleotides) under Lactobacillus gasseri. RNAcentral's name for it is "bacterial SSU rRNA". It matches the Rfam family "Bacterial small subunit ribosomal RNA", at positions 371 to 967 of the family's 1533-position model. Lineage: Bacteria; Bacillati; Bacillota; Bacilli; Lactobacillales; Lactobacillaceae. The record is from RNAcentral.